UUAAAGUUGUUUUAAUUUUCCAAUACGCUUCCAGUUUUACAAGAGCAGGCGCGGAUUCGGCCAUCUGGAAAUCGGGAAUUCUCCAGAGGUGCCAGUAGCCGUGAUUGUACAGCGGCAUAUGGGUGCUCAAAUCCAAAUUUGAUAUAUUUUUAAAUCAACUAAAAUUAGGGUUAAAUUUUCAAGUUUCAACAGGUCCCGUCUGGCCUUGUACCCACAAGAGCUUUAAAAUAUUUAAGUCUAGCGCUUAACUGGCAAUACAACCCAUAAACAAUAAAUAAAUAAACAACGCAUUUUGUUGUUUAUCACUUGUUUACCUCACCUCGGAUCAGGAUAAAAAAAAUCGCGUGAUGUUUAAAACGCAAACAUCGAAACAACUGAAAUUUUAGAACCUUAAACUCCGUGUAUACUCGCCAAUAAGAUUCAAGUAUUCACACUGGUGAUUCUUAUUAGUUGGAACACGUGAUUAAAAAAAACCAUCCGAUUUAGUAAAUAAACCAAGUUGAUAUCGUCACCUGUAAUUAAUAGUAGUAUAAAAUAUUAUGAUAAAAAAUCAUUCGAUUUCACAAUAGUCGAUCGCACCACAUCGAUAUCUCUGGAUCAAGUUGUAGUUAAAAAAACGUAUAAAACCGUGGCGCAAACGAUAUUUUAAAAUUUGCUUUAGCACUGUGAGCACAACCAAGAAAUCCAAAAAUUUUCUAGUGUCGUGUGUUACAAAUUGCAGCGAUGUUCUUCAUACUUAUAACGUUUCUUCUAAAAGAAAUCGAAGCCCAGAUUUUGGAAUCAAAUUCUCCGGCCACUCUUUUGCAAACAACUUGGAAAGAGUUCAAGUGCAAUCUUCAUCUUGGGGGAGUCAUCGCCCUGUGUAUAAUUCUUGCGGUGAUCGGUGCGAGUGUUUUGUGGAGCCAUUUCAAAAAUGUUCAAAAACGGAUAGAUGAGGCCCGAGGAUUAAUUUUGUUAACUUACUCCGGAGCAGGAUAACGAAGAAAGAAGAGUCGACCCAAUGCUGGCGCUCUUAUGACCAGCACAACCCGCAAUCAAAAGCAAAAUAUAAGUGCGCCAGGAUCCUUUCGGACAGUUCACCGAGUACCCGGAUCCAAAGUACCCGUGACGUCAACCCGCGACUUACCUUCCUGACCACUCCAAAUAAACUGUUUGUGAGGCUUUGAGAGACACUAGUGUACACAACAAAAAAGCUUAAGUGUAUUAAAGUAAGCGUAUAUUAAAAAAAGAAAUAUUAAUUAUUACCGAUUAUGUUUGCUCAAACGAGUUCUUAUUAGAGUAAUAACUAAUAACUUAAUGUAUCCACAAUGCGUGUCGCAUCAACAACUAAUUACCUACAAAUAAGAUUGAAUUUGAUGUAUUAUUUAUAGAUUAAUUUUCCAAAUGUCUGUACCUUGUUCUGAUUUUUUAAUGUAUCUAUUCUAUAUUGUACCAUGUACAUAUAUAUAAGUAAAAAUUAAAUGUGAAUGAUUUUUUAUGAA
Long non-coding RNA from Zophobas morio, 1481 nucleotides. RefSeq lists it as uncharacterized. Lineage: Eukaryota; Metazoa; Arthropoda; Insecta; Coleoptera; Tenebrionidae. The transcript is spliced from 2 exons. The record is from RefSeq and is a predicted model, not a curated record.